GGGUAUAGAUCCCCUCCGUGCCGAAGCUGACGCGUUAAGCAUCCCGCCUGGGGAUUACGGCCGCAAGGCUUAAACUCAAACGAAUUGACGGGGGCCCGCACAAGCAGCGGAGCGUGUGGUUUAAUUCGAUGAUACACGAAGAACCUUACCUGGGCUUGACAUGUAGGUAGUAGUGAAGCGAAAGCGGAACGACCCUUCGGGGAGCUUACACAGGUGCUGCAUGGCUGUCAGUCAGUUCGUGCCAGUGAGUUGUCGGGUUAAGUCCCGUAACGAACGCAACCCUUGCCACUUAGUUACAUGUGUCUAAGGGGACUGCCCGGGACAAACUGGGAGGAAGGUGGGGAUGACGUCAAGUCAGCAUGGCCAUUAUGUCCAGGGCUACACACACGCUACAAUGGCCGGUACAAUGGGUCGCCAAGCCGUGAGCCAGGAGCCAAUCCCCCAAAGCCGGUCUAAGUUCGGAUUGUGGGCGGCAACUCGCCCAUAUGAAGCUGGAGUUGCUAGUAACCGCGCGUCAGCAAUAGUGCGGUGAAUACGUUGCCCGGGCACUUGUACACACCGCCCGUCACGUCAUGGAAGCUGCUACACCUGAAGCCAGUGA
Molecule: ribosomal RNA, 601 nt
Filed under: uncultured organism
Description: bacterial SSU rRNA
Rfam family: Bacterial small subunit ribosomal RNA
Source: RNAcentral